UAUGGUGAACCUGCGGAAGGAUCAUUA
Molecule: ribosomal RNA, 27 nt
Filed under: Aspergillus ruber
Lineage: Eukaryota; Fungi; Ascomycota; Eurotiomycetes; Eurotiales; Aspergillaceae
Description: partial 18S ribosomal RNA
Source: RNAcentral